AUGGAGGGCGGCAAGCCAUCCACUCAGCGGCACUCGUCCGGCGCCGUUCGCCCGAUUGUGCUAGUAGUGGUCGCGGUGAGCCUGGUUGUCGUGCUCUUCAUGGCCACGCGGGUCUCGCCCGGAUGCCGUCCACUCUUAAAAGCUGUGUACCAACAAGGCCUAGGCCGUGCCGGCCCCUCCGCGACGGCGGAUCCGCUCCUCGGCGGCCUCCUCUCGCCGGACUUCGAUGACCGCUCCUGCCUCAGCCGCUACCGCGCCUCGCUCUACCGCCAGCCGUCGCUCCACAACCUGUCAUCGCACCUCGUCUCGCGCCUCCGACGCUACGAGUCCCUCCACCAGCUCUGCGGGCCUGGCACACCGGCCUACUCGCGCGCCGUCGCCCGCCUGCGCGAGGCCAUGGAUGGGCAUGCGUCAUCGAACAGUACCAGCAGCUCCGACACCGAGUGCAGCUACAUCAUCUGGACCCCCGUAGAGGGGCUCGGCAACCGCAUCCUCUCCACCGCCUCCGCUUUCCUCUACGCGCUGCUCACUGACCGUGUCCUCCUUGUCCACCACCCCGCCGAUGACCUCAACGACAUGUUCUGCGAGCCGUUCCCGGGCUCUAACACCACCUGGGUGCUCCCGGAGGAAGGCUUUGCCAUCCAGGGCAUCAAGGGGCUCAACGUCCGCACCCGGGAGAGCCUCGGCAACGCGGUGGGCCGUGGCAGGGACCCGCCGGCGCCGUGGCUGUACGUGCACCUACAGACAGAUUACAAGCCGGACGAUCGGCGCUUCUUCUGCGACGACGGACAGGAGACGCUGCGUGGCGUGCGAUGGCUCGUGCUCCGCUCCGACAACUACUUCGUGCCGGGCCUCUUCUUCCUCCCGCGGUACGAGGAAGAGCUGGUCCGGCUGUUCCCGCGCCGCGACACUGUGUUCCACCACCUCGGGCGGUACCUGUUCCACCCGAGCAACACGGUGUGGGGCAUGGCGACGCGGUACUACAGCUCGUACCUCGCCCCGGCGGAGGAGCGGGUGGGCGUCCAGGUGCGCGAGUUCAAGUAUGCGCGCAUCUCCGCCGACGAACGCUACAAGCAGAUCAUCUCGUGCGCGAGCCGCGAGAGCCUCCUGCCCGCCGUCGAGAACGCUACUCUCCCGAGCUCUGCCUCUGACCACCACCAGGAGCAGGAGCAGGAGCAGAAGAAACGCAAGGCCGUGCUCAUCGUGUCGCUCAACGGGGACUACUACGACAAGCUGAGCAGCCUGUACUACGAGCACGGCGCGGCGGCUGUGACUGUGAGCGUGUUCCAGCCGACGCACCUGGGCACGCAGCACUCGGAGAAGCGGCAGCACAACCAGAAGGCGUUGGCUGAGAUAGUGUUGCUCAGCUUUUCGGACGUGGUCGUCACGUCCGCCCAAUCCACGUUCGGCUACGUCAGCCAGGGGCUGGCCGGGCUGAGGCCCUGGGUGCUCAUGCUCCCCGUCGACGGGAAGGUCCCCGAUCCGCCGUGUCGUCUCGCCUCCACCAUCGAGCCCUGCUUCAUGAAGGCGCCGCACUAUGACUGCCGGACCAGGGGAGACAGCGACAACGGCAAGCUGGUCCCGUACAUCCGGCAGUGCGAGGAUGUGUCGUAUGGCGUUCAGUUGGUGGAGUAA
RNAcentral lists this ribosomal RNA (1635 nucleotides) under Triticum aestivum (bread wheat). RNAcentral describes it as "partial small subunit ribosomal RNA". Lineage: Eukaryota; Viridiplantae; Streptophyta; Magnoliopsida; Poales; Poaceae. The record is from RNAcentral.